This 88-nucleotide transfer RNA is filed under the name subsurface metagenome. RNAcentral describes it as "tRNA-Pyl". The record is from RNAcentral.
CCGAGAGGUCAGUCUGGACUAAAAUCAGGAUUCUUCUAACGAAUCUGGCUCCGCUUCUGGUCCCGGCUCCGAUUCCGGUUCUUCCGGU